Molecule: unclassified non-coding RNA, 211 nt
Filed under: uncultured Rhizophlyctis
Lineage: Eukaryota; Fungi; Chytridiomycota; Chytridiomycetes; Spizellomycetales; Spizellomycetaceae
Description: sequence contains ITS1
Source: RNAcentral
AAAAAUAUUUGGUCUCAUGCCAAAUUAACACUUGUGUGCACCAUUGUCUGUAUUUGGUAGUUCGAGUGCGUUGAUGGAGCUCAACACUCCGCAACGCCUACCCUUGCGGGCAACUGCUUGGGUUGGGCUGCCGCCUUUUUUGAUAAACCAUUUGUUUGUUUUGUUUUUGUCUGAACGAAGAGUUAGUCUUUUUUGAUUAAUGAUUUGUAAA